Non-coding RNA from Caenorhabditis elegans, 21 nucleotides. NCBI's taxonomy places the organism in Eukaryota, Metazoa, Nematoda, Chromadorea, Rhabditida, Rhabditidae. The record is from Ensembl.
UCAACAUAAUCAUCAAAAUCA